CGAACGGACGAGAAGCUUGCUUCUCUGAUGUUAGCGGCGGACGGGUGAGUAACACGUGGAUAACCUACCUAUAAGACUGGGAUAACUUCGGGAAACCGGAGCUAAUACCGGAUAAUAUUUUGAACCGCAUGGUUCAAAAGUGAAAGACGGUCUUGCUGUCACUUAUGGAUGGAUCCGCGCUGCAUUAGCUAGUUGGUAAGGUAACGGCUUACCAAGGCAACGAUGCAUAGCCGACCUGAGAGGGUGAUCGGCCACACUGGAACUGAGACACGGUCCAGACUCCUACGGGAGGCAGCAGUAGGGAAUCUUCCGCAAUGGGCGAAAGCCUGACGGAGCAACGCCGCGUGAGUGAUGAAGGUCUUCGGAUCGUAAAACUCUGUUAUUAGGGAAGAACAUAUGUGUAAGUAACUGUGCACAUCUUGACGGUACCUAAUCAGAAAGCCACGGCUAACUACGUGCCAGCAG
RNAcentral lists this ribosomal RNA (465 nucleotides) under uncultured Staphylococcus sp. Its description in RNAcentral is "bacterial SSU rRNA". It matches the Rfam family "Bacterial small subunit ribosomal RNA", at positions 63 to 514 of the family's 1533-position model. Lineage: Bacteria; Bacillati; Bacillota; Bacilli; Caryophanales; Staphylococcaceae. The record is from RNAcentral.